UACAGAGGGUGCGAGCGUUAAUCGGAAUUACUGGGCGUAAAGCGUGCGUAGACGGCUAUCUAAGUCGGGCGUGAAAGCCCCGGGCUCAACCUGGGAAUUGCAUUCGAGACUGAAUAGCUAGGGUGCGGUAGAGGGAAGCGGAAUUUCCGGUGUAGCGGUGAAAUGCGUAGAUAUCGGAAGGAACAUCAGUGGCGAAAGCGGCUUCCUGGACCAGCACCGACGUUCAGGCACGAAAGCGUGGGGAGCAAACAGG
This 253-nucleotide ribosomal RNA is filed under the name uncultured bacterium. Its description in RNAcentral is "partial 16S ribosomal RNA". It matches the Rfam family "Bacterial small subunit ribosomal RNA", at positions 524 to 776 of the family's 1533-position model. The record is from RNAcentral.